AGAGUUUGAUCAUGGCUCAGGACGAACGCUGGCGGCGUGCCUAACACAUGCAAGUCGAACGGAGUUUAAUGACGGAAACCUUCGGGUGGAAGACAUUAAACUUAGUGGCGGACGGGUGAGUAACGCGUGAGCAACCUGCCUCUCAGAGGGGGAUAACGUUUGGAAACGAACGCUAAUACCGCAUAACAUAUCUUUAUCGCAUGAUAGAGAUAUCAAAGGAGCAAUCCGCUGAGAGAUGGGCUCGCGUCCGAUUAGAUAGUUGGUGAGGUAACGGCUCACCAAGUCGACGAUCGGUAGCCGGACUGAGAGGUUGAACGGCCACAUUGGGACUGAGACACGGCCCAG
RNAcentral lists this ribosomal RNA (345 nucleotides) under uncultured bacterium. Its description in RNAcentral is "bacterial SSU rRNA". It matches the Rfam family "Bacterial small subunit ribosomal RNA", at positions 8 to 334 of the family's 1533-position model. The record is from RNAcentral.